AGCAGCCGCGGUAAUUCCAGCUCCAAUAGCGUAUAUUAAAGUUGUUGCAGUUAAAAAGCUCGUAGUUGAAUCUCGGGAUUGACACAUCGGUCGUGCCUUAAGGGGUAUGAACUGGUGUAGUCAAUUUCUCACCUUCUGGAGAACCGCGAUGCCCUUAAUUGGGUGUCACGGGGAACCAGGACCUUUACUUUGAAAAAUUAGAGUGUUUAAAGCAGGCAUUUUGCUUGAAUACAUUAGCAUGGAAUAAUAAAAUAGGACGGCAUGAUUCUAUUUUGUUGGUUUCUAGGAUCACCGUAAUGAUUAAUAGGGAUAGUUGGGGGCAUUAGUAUUCAAUUGUCAGAGGUGAAAUUCUUGGAUUUAUUGAAGACUAACUACUGCGAAAGCAUUUGCCAAGGAUGUUUUCAUUAAUCAAGAACGAAAGUUAGGGGAUCGAAGACGAUCAGAUACCGU
Molecule: ribosomal RNA, 450 nt
Filed under: uncultured Glomeromycotina
Lineage: Eukaryota; Fungi; Glomeromycota
Description: SSU rRNA
Rfam family: Eukaryotic small subunit ribosomal RNA
Source: RNAcentral